This 25462-nucleotide long non-coding RNA is filed under the name Medicago truncatula (barrel medic). Its description in RNAcentral is "long non-coding RNA (MTRU_LNC004599)". Lineage: Eukaryota; Viridiplantae; Streptophyta; Magnoliopsida; Fabales; Fabaceae. The record is from RNAcentral.
AUACUGUGAAAAAUCUUAACUAAGGAACAUGAAGAAAAAAAAAAAAAAAAAAAGGAAGGCAAUUCCAAUAAAUCCAACAAUUUUCAAUAACAGCUAUUAUGAUACGUAGAGCAAGCAAGAUAUAAACAAUGUUAAAAAACAAAAAGGAAACCACAAACCCAAGUUACUUGCUAACUUGAUGACCUAAGGACCAAAGUGAUGCUAUCACGAAUGAACUAUGGACAUACAUAUGCCUGGAUCAUACUUUUUAAUUGUGAACUGCAUCAUAUGUGCAACCACAUUGCCUAAUAAUUUCAGUGUUUCUGAAAAUCAUGAAAAUAAAGUACUGAUGUAACCCUGCAAUGUAACGUGUGUAAAGACUUAGAAUGCACUAGGCUUCAAGAUGUUUUCCAUUCUUCUGUACUAAGUAAAUUGAGGGAGCUUCAGGUAGCUAAGAAGAUUUCAGCACAGUAGCGAAAUGGAGAUAAUGGGGAGAUGGGAUUUAAGAAGAGGGGUAGGGAAUGCAUCAUCAAUUAUAUUUAAUAGAAAUUGUGGUAGUAGCAAACACAAAUGUUAUAGAACUAUUGGCUAAUUGAAGCAUCCUCUACAGUUUUUCAACUGUCUAGCAAAAACCAAUCUAGAAUUGGGAACCUAAAAUACCUAUGGAAGAACCUUCAGGUGGACAUCCUUCAACUUAAGCAUUCUUUGUAACAUUGUUGGCACUGGCAGAAGAAUUUGCUGAAGAAGAUGGUUCAGAACAAGCCUUGAGGACAGCUUCAUUCUUCCAAAAAUAAAAAAUGUACUAUAACAUUAGCCAUUAAAAGUCACAAUUAUUGUUCUAUGUUUCGAAACAAAUACACGAACAAAAAAAACGUGAGUAUAUAUGAAAUUAAAAAUAAAAAUAAAAAGGCAAGCCGCGGGGCCUGGGAAUCAUUUGGAAACAAUAUGUAUUAUGUUCCCAACCAUGCAGAUGUGCUUGUUGAAAUAAAGGCAAUGGCUCAUCAACCACAACCUGGUGUGAAUUCGGAACAAAAUCACACCAAUGAAUAACAAAGAUGUGUGAAGUAAAGGAAGUGGUAAUCAAUGUGUAAAGUGUCUCCAAGCAACAACAAUAAAAUAAAAAAAAACAGACCUAGAUCUAAGUAUAGAGCAACACCACAAGCAUAAUCAAAGCACAAAGAUAAGCAAUGGAAGGAAAGGAACAAACACACCAAGAUUAUUGACCCAGUUCGGUCCAAUAUGACCUAAUCUGGGGAGAGAGCAGCCCUCCAAUCCACUAUGAUGAAAGUGUUACAAAAGAGUUACAAGAAAUUAGCUUAUAAGCUUACACAAGAACAAGACCUAAUUUCUACCCAUUUUGUGUCACCCACACUCUCAAUAAUGAAUCCUAAGAGAAAACACAAAAAGAAGCUUUUUGAUCCUUCCAAUGGUGAAAUCUCACUACCCAAGGUGUUUACAAUCUUUAUAUCUAAUCCUAGAGUACAAUGCAAAAAUAAUUUGUAAACCCUAAACCUAAUCCAUUUUGGCGGUAACUUUUCAAAUUUGAUUAUCAUAAGUGCAUGGUUACAAGAGAUACCUCCCAACCAAUCCCUACGACUAAUACCUCAAAUUCGUCCUUGAAUUUUGAAAAAUCGGCAAAUUUCGUCCCUGAAUUUUGCGAAAUAUCAAAUUAGUCCCUGAAUUUUACAGACGUCCAUCAAUUCACUCCCUCCGUCCAAAAUGUCUGUUAGUAGUGAUGAUGUGGCUUCUUGCAUGUUGUGUUGUCUUGUACACGUGUCAGCAAGUCAGCCACGUGUAAGAGACUAAAUUGAUGGAAAUGGUCAAAAUUCGAUAUUUAACAUUUCAGUCUCUUUUUUCCUGUGUUUUCAAUUAUACCCCUCUAUUACCAUUCUCUUUCAUCCUCACAUUUUCACUCAGAAGCAUCAAACAUGUCCCUAGCCUUUCACCUUCCCGCCUAAAUUGUCACCCUCUUCACUUCACCAAAAUCAUCAUCAUCACCGGCGAUCAUCCUUGGAAAAGAUUCGGUUUUGAAGUCAGAUUUCGUGGUUUGUCAAGGUAUAGCCAUUCAACUUUGUUUUCCAUUCACUCUUGUUCGUUUCUCCAUGUUUUGUGUCCGUUUUUUUGUGAUUUUCGGUUUUAGUUUUAGGCAUUAUUUUUCAACUUUUAACUUCAUAUCAUGUUUCGUUGAUGUUUGUUUGUGAUUGUUGUGUGUUUGAUUGCGUUUUUUAGAUUAGUAAUUUUAGGGUUUUUUGUUAGAAACUUAAUAAUUUCAUGUCUUUAUGUUUGGUUACUAAAAAUGAAGAACAUUAUAUUUGUACUGAACGAAAUCACAUCCUGAUUUAAACAAUUUAUAAAAAGGGUUUUUUGAGGUUGGUGUUGAAGUUUGAUUUGCAUUUUUGAUGUUGUUUUUCUUUUGAUUUUGACGAUGUUGGCAAAAUUCGCAGGAUGGAAGACUCUAUUACGGUAAUCUUGCAUCACGGUGGUUGUUUAGAGCGAGAUGAGUAUUGAAGGCUACAAUACGUUCGUGGUGAGUUUUGUGUUUGGGAGAAAAUGGAUGUUGAUCAGUUAUGCUUGUGGGACAUUGAGAAGAUGGUGAAACGUUCAAGAGGUUACUUUAAGGUAUCUAAAAUGUGGUAUUGGAAGCCGUAUGAAGGUGUUGAAGAUGAUAUAAACAUAUGCUUGACUCCUUAACAACUGAUAAAGACUUAUGUGAUAUGGUACAAGUUGCAAGGGCAAAUGGAAAUGAAGUGGAAAUAUAUGCACAACAUGUGGUGGAUACGGAAUAGGUUGAAAUUGUGCCAUUAAGAAAUGAAGAGAGGGAGGAACUUGAGAGAGUAAUGGAAGAGUCUUUGAAAAGUAUGGGCAAAAGGAGGAUUAACAAGUGAAGAUGAACCAAUUAAUAUUAUGGAGAUUGAUAUUUUAAGUGCUGAGGAAAGAAAUGUGGUGGACUGUUUGGUUGCUAGUGUGCAAAACAGAGUAUAUAAUCAAGAGGAAAAUGUUAAUGGUACUCAAGGAAUGAAGGAUAUGGCUUGUGAUACUCAAGGAAAUGAUGAAUGUAACGCCCUAUUUUAAAUAUUUAAUUAUUUUAAUGAGUUUAGAGUAUAUUUAUAUGAUUUAUGUGAUUAAAAUGAUUAUGUGAUGUGUUGUUGUUUUAUUAAGCAGUGUUAUUUUAUUAUUUAAUAGAAUAACAUUUAAAAAUAAAAUAAGAUUAAGUUGUGGGGGCUGUUUUGGAAAUUAGAAGAGUUUAGUGGAAUAAGUGGAAAUAUAUGUUAUUUGGUGUAGAAAUAUAUAUGUUAUUUGGUGUAGAAAUAUAUGUUAUUUAGUGUAGAAAUAUUAUGUUAUUUGGUGUGGAAAUAUAUGUUAUUUGGUGUAGAAAUAUAUAUGUUAUAGAAAUAUAUUUGUUAUAAAGAUAUAUUUGUUAUUUGUUAUAGAAAUAUUUUAUAUUAUAUAUUAGAAUAGAAUAUUGAGACUUGGAGGGCAGAUUUGGAAAUAAGAGAAAAUAAGUAGGUUAAAGAUUUAUAUAAAAGGGGAGAGUUAGAAUUAGAAAAUAAGGAUUACGUGAAACAAGUUUUUAGGAGAAAACAAGAGAGGAAGAAGAACCAAGAGAAGAGAGAAGUCAGAGAAGAGAAGAAUCUUGUGAGAAGAGGAACAAUCUUGUAGAUUCCGAUCAUCUAAUCUAAGGUAAGGGUGGGACUAGCUUUCUCUAAUAAUGGGUUGUAUGAUUCUAAAAAGGGGUUUAACAUGUUGUUUUGUUAGUUUUGAUGUUAAAGAAAUUAGGGUUAAAUUGCAAAAUUGAUGAUUUUCUAAAAUAAUGUUUUUGUUCAAGUUUUAUAUGGUUUUGAGUCUCUUUUGAUGUAUAUAAAUGUUUAGAUAAACUUUGGGAUCAAAUUUGGGCAUAGGGAAUUUAAAAUUGGGAUUUUGGGGUGAAAAAUGGAGUUUUCCCGAGAGCCAUCUGUUAUAACUUGCCAUUGCGAGUGAAUGUACUCGUCGGGGCGAGUAGCUCUCUGACAGCAUGCCAUGUUUCAUGUUCUUGCGUCUUUUUCACACGUUUCUGUUUUGAAUUGGCCUUUGGUAUAAACAUGAAAGUUUUAUAUAAUUUUGUUAGCUUUCCAAUGACUUUGGUUUGACUUGAAAAUGAAUUUUGGUUUUUGAGAUAUGAUGAAAAUACUCCAAGGAGGUCUUAGUGAAAUCUUAUGAAAAUUCAGCAUAACCAUUUCUAAGUUAAUCCAAAACUUAUGGGAUAAUUCCAAACCUCAAAACUAGAAGUACUAUGAGUUUAAUUAAGGUGUUUAAGAGUAUUUAACCUAUGUUGUGAGUUGAUCUUGGGAUAGGAAUGAAAGUUGUUAUUAAGUUAUAGACUUACAGGGAGCCUGAAUCAAAUGAUUAAUGAUUGUUGGUUAGUUUAAGAUAUUUAUAUAAGGUGUUGAAAAUGUAUGAUAUAGAAAUUAUUAUUGUUUAUAUCAUUUAAAUUGUUAUUAUUGAUGUUGCUAUGUUGCAUGAUGUUUAUUGUUGAUGUUGACUUGCUCCAUAUUAUUUAAUGUUGUUGCCUUGCUGUCGUAAUUAGGAUUGCUAAUGUUGGUCUAAGUUGUUUAAGUUGUAAGAUGUUGAUCCAAAUUAUUGGAGUCAUAUGAGAUGUCUAAGUUGUUUAAGUUGUAAGACGUUGAGUCCAUGCAUGCUCAUUUAAGUUGAGGGCUUGAUGCCCUGUAAUGUAUAUUUAUACAUAUUAUGUUGUGGGAUUGAUGCUGUAACGCCCACUUUCGUUUAAUCGUUAUUUAAUCGAGAUUAGGCAAUUAUAUGAUAAUUAUAUAGUAUAUGCAUGAUUUUGAUAUGUUUUGAUGAUUUGUGGUGAUUUUGAUGAUUUGAUUGAUGACGUGUUAAGUUAUGAGUAUUGAAGGAUUUGAUUAUGAUAUGGGAAUUAUUUUAUUGUUAAAUAAAAUAAAGAUUUGAAAAUAAUAUAAAAUAUUUAGUUGAGGGCUGUUUUGAUAUUUUAGAUAGUUUUGGGGGAGAAAGUGAGAUAAGAUAAGUAAUUAGAAAAAGAUAUAAAUAGGAGAAGACCUAAUAUUUAGAAACUCAUUGUACGUGAAAACUUUUGGAAGAAGGGAGAAAAGCCAAGUCUAGAGGAAUCAAGGUAGAGUGCUGCGAUUUUCUUCAUUCAAGGUAAGGGUGAGACUAAUAAUUCAAUAAUGUUAAUUACUGUAAUUCUGAUGAUUAGUUGACAAAGUUAGGAUUGAUUUAGAGAAGUUUUGGAAUUAGGUUAAAACCCUAAAAAUUGAUGAUCAAACGGUAAAACUUGUUUAGAUUGAUGUAGAAACCGUCCGUUAACCUUAGAAUAUGUUUAGGAUGAAUUCUGGAAUCAAAAUUAGGCUUUGAACCAUGUUGUGUGAUGGAUUUUUGAGAAAAACCCUAGCCUGCCCGUGCUUCUGUUCAUCGCUCGCCACGGCGAGUGAUGAUCCUCGCCUCGCGAGUGAUGAACUUCAUCGCUCGCCACGCGAGCCCCUUUCCUUCGCCUCGCGAGUUGUUUGGUCCAACUCGCCAUGGCGAGCAACCUUUCCUCGCCUCGCGAGCUUAGGCAGAGAGCAUGUCAUGUUUCGUGUUUCGACCUUUUUAGUUGAACCUUGUAUAUCCUUGAGUACCUGAACAUACCUAGUAUUGAUUAGGAAUGAAUGUAGGAUCAGAGGGAACCCAGAACGACCUUAGUUUGGGAGUUGAGUGGUACUCGCCAUGGCGAGUAAGAGCUCUCGCCUCGCGAGUACAACCAGGAUGAACUUGUUUGUGUGUUUGUGCGAUCUGUGUCGCACUUGUUGAUCAAGAGUGAACCCCUAACUGGUAAUGAGACCUAGCGAUGUUGUUUAAUGCAGACUGUAGAGUUGUUUAAGUUAUAUUAAUAUUAAUUGGUUAAGAACUAUUGUAUUGUAUAUUCAUGCAAAAUGAGAAGAUGUGAUAAUAAUGCAAUUUAUGUGCUAUUGAUAUAAUGAUAUCAUCUUGAUAUGUGACUUGUUUAUGCUGCUUCCGUUGUUUAACUAAGUGCAUAAGUAUAUGAUGAAGUUUAGCUCCAAAUUAUUGGAUGCAUGUUGAUAAGUCGAUUACGUUGUUUUGUUCAUAUGUGUCCAUGCAUAGCAUAUCAUUGAGCUUUGUCCUCACCACGAAAAUUAGGAGCUUUGUCCUCCGCACGUUUUAUAGGAGCUUUGUCCUCCGCACGAUUAAAGUAUAUUAAUACUUAUGAUGACGAUUGGUACCACAUGCAUAUAAGGAGUCUAGGAGCAUUGUCACAUUGUCAUGAUUAAGAUGCCUUGUUGAUGAUGAGUGGAUAUGUGAUUACGUGAUAAGUGUUCAUUGAUUAAUGUUAUUUUAUUAUGAAAUCUCACCCCUUCUGCUUGAAAAUGUUGCCCUUCGUAUGGGUAACUUGCAGGUGAUCGUGCUUAGUGUGCAGUCGCUUCUGUGAGUGGCCUUGCCUCUCUGUGUCGUCUAGGUCGCUCUGAUACGUAACGGGAUGGGGUUAAUGCUAUAACAUGCUUCAUUCUUUUACGUGAACUGCCAUGAUAAUUUAUGCUUUGAUAAACUCUUUUGAGAUACUUGUUGGGGCCUACGUGCCAAACUGAUUUAUGAUUUCUGAACUAAUACUCCGCUGCUAUGUUAAGAUAUUAUGUGGAAGUUAAAUUAUUAUUUAACUGUUUUUUGGAUUACGUUUCUAUGUGAUAUCCCGUUAUGGUUUUUACUCUGAUAAAUGUUUAAGAAAUUUGUAUAUUGGGAAAACGGGGUGUUACAGAUGCCCUGUAAGUUGAGGGCUUGAUGCCCUAUGAGCAUAUUUACGCUCAAUACGUUGGGGGCUUGAUGCACUGGUUGGUACCACAUGCAUGAUUAAGAGGUCGUAGUUGCAUUUUGUCUAGAUGGUUCAAGAUGUGUAAGAUGUUUAAGUUGCAUUGUCGAGUUGAAGUCGUGUCGUUGUUGUUAAGUUGUUAUUUAUCCAUGUGUCGUUAAUAAAGUACUUAUGAUGUUGACUAUGAUGUUGUUACGUUGUUUAUGGUGUGAUUAUGUCGUUAUAUGAUGAUGUUUAUGAUGUGAAGUAUAUGAUAUUAUAAGAUGAUGUUUAUGAUGUUAUAAAAUGAUGUUUAUGAUGUGAUGUUUAUGUUGUUGUAUGACGUUGUGUAUAAUGUAAUGAAUAUGAAGUUAAUGAUGAUUAGAAGUUGAUUGAGUUAUUAAUGAAAUAUUAUAAGAAGAGUAAUGUUAUUAAUUGAUGAAGUAUAAGUUGUUAAAUGCUUUUGAUGAAUUGUAUGCUUAUUAUUAUUGAAUGUGAAAUCUCACCCCUUCUGCUUGGAAAUGUUGCUCUUCGUAUGAGUAACUUGCAGGUGAUCGAGUUUAAGCUGUUGUUAGAUUGCUGUCGUGAGUGGACUAUCUCUCACGUGUGUCUUUAGGUGCUCUGAUACGUAACGGAAUGGGAACUUUGUUGCAUGCUUUUCUAUUCCUUACGUAUUACUUUAUGAAGUUUAUGACUAUGUUUUUAGACUGGAUUUCUAUGAGAUAUUUAUGAUGAGGCCUUCGUGCCAAAGAAUACUAUUUUUAGAUGUUGAAUAAAUUCCGCUGCGAAGUAUUAAUUAUUAUGUUAUUGAAUUUUGAAGGAAAAUUAGUUAAUUAUUCCAUUUAUGAUUUUAAGAAAAGAAGUGUGACAUUCCGUUUUGUGAUGAAUACUCUGAUUAUUUAUAUGAAAUUUUUAUGUUGGGAAAACGGGGUGUUACGAUGAAGACAAUGUUGGUGCUACUGAAGAGGAAAAUGUUGGUGCUGCGCAAGAAAGUGAAGAAGUUAGAUGGGUGAAGAAUGAUAAAACAUGGUCAAGGGCAAUAUGUGAGCAUGAUACAUGUGAAUGGUUAAUAUUCUGUGCAAGGAAUGAAAAAAGGAAAAGUUUUCAUAUCAAAACAUUUGUGAGUGAACAUGAUUGCCCUAGAGAUUUCAAGAAUAAGUGUGCUAAUAGGAAAUGGGUGGUCAAGAUGCUUGAGAAAAUAUUAAGAUGUAAUCCUGAUAUCAAGCAUGGGCAUAUUAUGGAUGUGUUUAAGACUAAAGUGAUACUAGAUGACAAUAUGAUAUUUAGGGCAAAAAAGGAAGCAAAGGAGUUGGUUGAAGGCAGUGAAAGGGAGCAGUAUGGUAUAUUAUGGGAUUAUGCAAAUGAACUAAUGAGGAGUAACCCAGGGUCAACUAUGAGGAGGAAUAUAAUACCAAUGCCAGAUUCUCCACCUCAAUUCAAAAGAUUAUAUGUUUGUCUGGAGGCAUGCAAACAAGGGUUUAAGGCAGGGGUAUUAUAGAGGGCAAUUGUUGUCUGUUGUAGGGCAAGAUGGUAAUAAUCAUUUGUUUAUCAUUGCUUAUGUCAUUGUUGAUAUGGAGAACAAGGACAACUAGAAGUGGUUUUUGGAACUACUCCAUGCAGAUAUUGGAAAUUAUGUGCGUAAUGGAUGGAACUUUAUCUCAGACAUGCAAAAGGUAUGAAUUCCCAUUCAAAUGGAUGGAACUUUAUUACUUGUUAAUUUAUGUAUUUUGGAUCGAUUUGAUAGUAAGUAUGAUAAUUCAGGGACCAAAUUGAUGGAUAUGCAUAUAAUUGAAGGACCAUUUUGUUGUUUAUUGUUUAAAUUGGCAGGGUCUGAUUCCAGCAAUGCAAGAAGUGAUGCCAGGGGUGCCACAUAGAUACUGUGUGAUGCAUUUAUGAAAGAACUGCACAAAGCAGUGGAAGAAUAAGGAAUUGAGAAGGGUUGUCUAGGAGUGUGCUAGGGAAACAACACCUACCCAAUUCAAUCGUAUUAUGGAGAGGGUGAAGAGUAUUAAUCAGAAGGCAUGGGAGUAUCUCAAUAAAUGGCCAAAGGAAGCUUGGAUUAAGGCUUAUUUCAAUGAAAAUUGCAAGGCAUACAACAUCGUCAACAAUGCUUGUGAGGUAUUCAAUUCAAAGAUUCUGAACUAUAGAGGGCAUCCAAUAUUAACUAUGGCUGAAGAAAUUAGGUGUUAUGUCAUGAGAAAGAUGAGUCAGAACAAAAUGAAACUAGAUGGGAGAGCUGGACCUUUGUGUCCUUGGCAGCAAAGCAGACUAGAGAAAGAGAAGAUUGCAAGCCACAACUGGACACCCCUAUGGAAUGGUGAUAAUGCAAGGCAAAGGUAUCAUAUUGAAAACAACUGUAGAAUCAAGGUGGAUGUUGAUAUCUUUAAGCAAACUUGUACUUGCAGGUUCUGGCAGUUAAUGUAACACCCCGAUAUUUUAUAUUAUUAUUAUUAUUAUUAUUAUUAUAUAGUUAUACAUUUUAUUUUAUUUACUUGGAACACUUGAGGUAAAUUUAAUAUAGCCUAUUUAAUUAAAUUUGAAGAGAUAAACUAGUAUUAUUUAUUUAUCCUACUAAUAGAAUUUCGGUUGGUAGUACUGUGGUUGGUCGUGAUGACUUUUGCAAGCAUUCACUAAUAAAUCUCUUAGUUUUAUUACAUGUAUAGAGUUAGGUAAAUUCCAACAAUUAAACUUCAUCCUUAUUUUCCUAUGGAUUAUUACUAACAUAAUUCCUAUGUCCAAAUUCUUGUUCUCUUCUUUACGUGAUUAGCCAAAGAGUGCAGCUUGGGUACAAUAUUCCAUCUCCUUUAUCUACCUCUCUUGCAAAAUAAAGUGGCAUGAAUAUCCAUUAUUCAGUCAAUUAAUUAUUUCAGAAGUCUCCUUAGCUGCCUAUAUUUCCCUCAAUCUAAUUUAUGAGUAUUUUAACCAAAAUAAUCCCUCUUUAAUAGUACGUAGUUUAAUUUCCACAAAUUUCUACCUUAAAUUCCCUUUGACCUUGUAACGCUCUUGUCCCUUCAGCUUCAUCUUGUUAUACAAAGUUCUUAACAAUACAUUAAUAGGAUUGUAUAGCAUGGUCUCCCUCCAUUUAUUCCCUUAGAAGUCUCCUACAUUAAUAAACAUUACUCUCUUUCGACUUGUAUUUUGAAAUACAUGACGGUUAGUAAACAUUCUUAUUGACUGAGUUAACUAAUUAUUCUUCUUUAUUUUCUUGUCGGUAAAAAAAUCCCAUAUGUCAUCAUUCUUUUAGUAGAAACUCGUUUGACCACAUAAGGGGAUUGACCUAUUUAUUUUAUACCACAAGUUCUAAUUAAUUCACCUAAUUCCAAAGCAUCAUCUAACUUAAAGGAAACAUGAAGACACCUAACCCUUGUAGAGCAUUACACGCCUAAACCAUUUCCAUCCAACAUCUCCAUGUUGCUGCAAUCGUUUACCUUUGUGCAAUAUCAUAAGAACCUCAAAGACCUGUUCGUGCGUUUGGUGCGGAAUCAACCUUAAGGGACAUCUUGUGUCGAAGGAAAUAAUUUUGAGGUAAGGGCGGUAUUCUGUACAAUUAUAUAUCCAUAAUCUCAUAAGCUAAUUUGAACGUAGGGACCUUAUCCUAAUAAGAUGAGAAGACUUGAAUAUAAAUAAAAGAAUGGAUUAGACAACUUUUAUUGCAUUUCAUGUUUGAUGAAAAGGUCUCAUCUUUUGUGGCAUAGCAUGACAUUAUGAUUUGACUUUGUGGCAUUGCAUGGCAUUAUGAUUUGACUCUCUUGUGCUUUAGAGAAAAUGCUUUGAUGAAUGUGAUGAAUAUUUUGAAAGGAAGUUUGAAUAUCUUAGUUGAUGUUUUGAAAAUGGUGAUGAUUUCAAAGAGUGCGCAUCAUGCAUGGCAUGACAUGUAGUUGUGUCAUAGGGUGCCGUAAGGGCGAUUUACUCUUGUGCCGAGAGGGCCAUUUAUUAUGUGCCGAAAGGGCGAUUUAUUCUUGUGCCAAUUGGGGCGAUAUCCGGAUCAUGGUCAAGUUGCAUCUCAUGCAUCAUUUGCAUAAAAAUCGUAUUUUGAUUUAUGUUAUUUGUAUUGAGCUUUUGACUCUUAUGUGGUGAGUGUUUUACUGUUCUUCUUAUCUUGUGCCUUUAUGUCUAUAUAAUUCUAUUAUUGUGGAUUAGGAAUACUGACCCCUUACAACCAACAUUUUAGGUAUUGAUGAGUUCGAAGAUUUGAAGAAAGUAUAAUGUUAAGUUUGCACGCGCGGGAAAUAAAUUUGGGUUUUUCAUAAAUUGUAAUUUAAAAUAUUUUUGAGGUUCAUUUUAGCUUCUUGUAAUAAUCCAAUUUAAUGAAUAAUUUCUAUUAUUUUACUUUAAUAGUUACCUUCUAGAUAUAUUUUCUAUUAAUUAUCUUUUAUUUUCAAAAGCAAAUAUACUCAUAUUUUCUAAAGAAUAAAUAAUAUUUUGGUAAUGUCUUGGAUUAAAAUCCGGAGCGUUACAGUUAACAGGUAAAUGUUAUUAUUAGUUAACUUGUACUUGUUGUUGUUAGUUAACUGCAGAAUCAAUUGUUUGUUCUGAUGGUUUAUGUAUAUUUGGAUAUUUAUUUUGUUGGAUUGAAUGAACAUGAAUGCCAUGUAUGCAUGCAUGUUCAGCACUUGCAUUGAGAGGAUUCAAGCUAGAAGAUCAUUGUCAUGCUUGGUUGACCCUUGGAUCAUAUAGGGAAACUUAUAGCUACUUUAUUCAACCUAUGAAUUCUCAUAUUUACUGGGAACCAACACCUUAUGAAAAACCUGUGCCACCAAAGGUGAAAAGGUCAGCAGGAAGACCUAAGAAAAAUAGGAGAAAGGAUGGUAAUGAAGAACCUAUUGGUGGGAGUAGCAUGAAGAAAACAUAUAAUGACAUUCAAUGUGGAAGAUGUGGACUGAUGGGACAUAACUCAAGAAGUUGUGCAAAGCAAGGUGUGGCUAGGAGACCAAAGAAUUGGAUUGACAUUGAGCCUGAAGAACAAUACAAAGUAAUGUGGCAAGUGUGGAAAUUGUUGUUGAGAAUGUUGCUACUGAGGUGCAACAAGAGGAUGUUGUUAGAGUUCCAAAUCCAAAUUACGGGCCAUCCGCUUCUACUCAACCCCAAUACAUGGAGUUUAUCCCAACUCUAAGAUUUCCAAAACAUUGAUACAUGUUUAAAUUAUGCUUUUGGACUAGUUUAAUUAAUGCUUUUUGAACUUGUUUAGUUUAUGCUUUUUUGGAUAUGUAAUCACUUAAGAACAUCAAAUGAUUUAAUGACUUGAUGACUAUGUAAUGUUGUUUUUUUUGGCUAUGUAAUGACUUAUUAACAUCAAAUAUUGACUAUGAUAUAAUGCAAAUGCCUUUCUUUUUAUAAUCAAAGUGUCUGUCUUUUACUUUUUACUUUGUUCAGCAAAUGUAUGCUGUAACACCUCGUUUUCCCAACUUAAAAAUUCCAAACAUAUAAUCAGAGUAUUCAACACAUAAACGGAAUGACACACUUCAUAAAAUCAUAAACGAGAUAAUUAACUAAUUAUCCUUCGACACAAAUCAUCAACAUAUUAGCAGCGGAUUAAAUUCUUCAUCAUAAAUAGUCUUGGCACGCAGGCCUUAUCAAAACAUCUCAUAAAGUCAGUUAAACAACUUAUUCCUAAAUCAAAUACGUAAAGGAAUAAGAAAUAGCCACAAAAGAUCUCAUCCCGUUACGUAUCAGAGCACCUAAAAUGACACAGUGAGGGAUAGCCACUCACGACAGCAACACCAACUACUUAGACUUGAUCACCUGCAAGUUACUCAUACGAAGAGCAACAUUUCCAAGCAGAAGGGGUAAGAUUUCACAAAACAAUAAUAUUAAGCAUAUAAUUCAACAAUUAAAUUUAACACAAGAAAUCAUCAUAAUAUUCAUCAUAGAUAAUAAUGUAUCAUUUAUCACUUCAUUCAUAGUUCAUAUAAAUAAUCACAACUUCACAACUUAUCAUCUUUGACUCGACAAAAUGCAACUAUGCAACUUAGACCUCUUAUAUGCAUGUGGUACCAAUCCAGGGCAUCAAGCCCUCAAUGUAAUAAGUAUUAAUAUACUUCUAGGGCAUCAAGCCCCCAACAUAAUUGAGCUAAAGCUCCAGGGCAUCAAGCCCCCAAUGUGGUGAGCAAAGGCUCUAGGGCAUCAAGCCCCCAACAAUGAAUGCUAAUGCAUGGACACAACAACUUAACUUCUUAUAAGCAACAACCUCUUAAAUAUAUCCAAUAAUUUGGAACAUCAUCAUCUUAAUCAACUUAGACCGACUCAUGCAGCUUAGUUAAAUAACAAACAGCAACAUAGGCAGUAUGCAAAUCAUCAUGAUAUAACAAUAUCGAAUGCAAAUCAACAACAUCUCAAUAUCAACAUAAUUCAUAUAAUGUAUAUACAAUUAUAUAACAUUAACAACAACAUUAGAUCAUAUUAAUUCAGGCUCACUGAAACAACAACAGCAAGAUAAACAACUUAGUUUCUAACCUCUAAGAUCAACUCACAUCAACUUGUGCGACAAGGAUCGCAUUUAACCUAAACAAGGCAUUCUGUAACUGGUUAGCUCGCGAGGCGAGAGCCUCUACUCGCCAUGGCGAGUUCAUCUGUAACUCCCACAAGUUUGUUCUUAAAUUAUUCCAGGUUCAAUCUCAAUCUCCAAUCUUUCCUAAUCAUUAUUAGACAUAUUCAGGCACUCGAAAACAUUUAAGGAUCAACUCAAAAGUCAAAAUUACGAAAUCUGGAUAUCUCUCUGGUCAUGCUCGCUAUGGCGAGUUCAUCUGAUCACUAUGGUGAGCUGCGAGGUGCACCUCGCGAGGCGAGCGAUGAACUUCAUCACUCGCGAGGCGAGGAUCAUCGUUCGCGAGGGUGAGCAAUGAAUGUUGGCUCGGGCAGAAGUGCAGUUUUCACGAAAAUUCAUCAUUUCUCAUGGUUUUAAGCCUAACAUUGAUUCCAAAAUUCAUCCUACAUAUUAUCUAAGGUCUAGGAACAGUUUCUACAUCAAUCUAACAAGUUUCCACCGUUUAAUCAAUAAUUCUACAAUUUUGACCUAGUUUUCAAUUCCUCUAAAACUCAUCCUACAUCAUGUUAAAUCUAACCAUUGAAUCACAGACUUAAUAAAAUUGCAAAGUUAGUCUCACCCUUACCUUAGAAUGUGAAAAUCGCAGCUUUUUGGUCUGUCUCCCUUCUCUUGGUUUUUUCUCCCUUUUCUCCAAAAACUGAUCGUACGUACGUUAUGUUUUUCUAACUAGGUCUUUCCUAUUUAUAUCUUCUCCAUCUAUCUUAUCUUAUUUCUCUUUCUGCCCCAAAACUCUCUAAAAUCUCAAAACAACCCCUAAACUCAAUAAUUAUUUUAUUUUCAAAUCUUAUUUUAUUAAACAAUAAAAUAAGUCACAACUCCUCAUAAAAUCACAUAAAAAUCACCUCAAUCAUAUAAAUAUCUUAAAUCACACAUAUAUCAUAUAAAUAUAAUAUAACCUUAUCAUAAUAAAUUCUAGACUCAGUUAAAUAAUUAAAUAAUUCAAAGAGGACGUUACAUAUGCACCAAGGAUCACAUUGAUAUCUGUUAUGAUAAUUCAAGGACCUAUUUGAUGGUAUUUUCACUAAUUUGAGGAUCGAAAUGAUGGAUAUGCAUAUAAUUACAUGGACUUGGCACAGUACAAUAGUAUUUAAAACAACUCAAUCAAACAAAAUACUCAUAUUAAUAUCUUAAUCAACCUAAGCUCACUUCCUACACAAUGAACUUUAUCCAUCAACCUUGCCCUCCAAACCUCUUCUCUGCCCCUAUCAUUUGGCUUCUCCAUCAACCUUGCAUUUCUUCCAUGACCAAUGUAACGCCCUCUCUAAUUAUUUGAUUAUUUUAAAUGAGUUUAGAAUAUACUUAUAUGAUUUGUGUGAUUUAUAUGAUUUAUUUUUAUGAGUGAUAUUUUGUUAUGUUAUAUGUUGAUAUUUAUUAGUAUAAUAUAAAUGUUAUUUGAUUUAGAAAUAUGUAUAUGUUUUAGAAAAAUAUAUGUUAAUUGGUUUAGAAAAUAUAUGUUAUUUGUUGUAGAAAUAAAUAUGGUUUGUUAAAGGAAUAUACAUGCAUUGUUGUAGAAAAUAUAUGUUAUUAUAUUAUAGAAAUAUAUAUGUUAUUUGAUUUAGGAAUAUAAUAUAUGUCAUUUGUUAUAAAAAUAUAUACAUGAUUUGUUGUAGAAAUAUAUGUCAUUUGCUAUGGAAAUAUAAAUGAUUUGUUAUGGAAAUAUAUAUAUGUUAUAGAGAUAUAUUUGUUAUUUAUUAUUGUUAUAGAAAUAUUUUAUAUAUAUGUAUAUAUUAGAAUAGAAUAUUAAUAUUUGGAUUUAAGAGAAAAAUAAGUAGGUUAAAGAUUUAUAUAAAUAGGAGAGAUCUAGUUUAGAAAAACAUAACGUACGUACGACUGCUUUUGGAGAAAAGGGAGAAAAACCAAGAGAAGAGGGAGAGACCUAGAGGGGCUGCGAUUUCCUGAUUAUAAGGUAAGGGUGAGACUAACUUUGCAAUUCUAUUAAGUAUGUGAAUCAAUGGUUAAGUUUAACAUGAAUUAGGAUGAGUUUAAGAAGAAUCGGAAAUUAUGUCAAAUUGAUAGAAUUGAUGAUUAAACGGUGGAAACUUGUUAAAAAGAUGUAGAAAUUGUCCUUAGACCUUAGAUAAUGAUUUAGAUGAAUUCUGGAAUUGAAAUUAGGCUUUGAACCAUGUUGUUUGAUGGAUUUUCGAGAAAACCCGUAGUCUGCCCGUGCUUCUGUUCAUCGCUCGCCAUGACGAGUGAUGAUCCUCGCCUCGCGAGUGAUGAACUUCAUCGCUCGCCACGCGAGCCCCCUUCCUUCGCCUCGCGAGUUGUUUGGUGCAACUCGCCAUGGCGAGCAACCCUUCCUCGCCUCGCGAGCUAAGGCAGAGAGCAUGUUAGAUUUUGUGUUUCGACCUCUUUAGUUGGACCUUGGAUGCCUUAGAGUGCCUGAACAUACCUAGUAUUGAUUAGGAUUGAAUGUAGGAUCAGAUUGAACCCAGAACAAUACUAGUUUGGGAGAUGAGUGGUACUCGCCAUGGCGAGUAAGAACUCUCGCCUCGCGAGCACAUCCAGAAUUGAGUGCUUUUGAGGAAUUUGAGACCUGAGUCGUUUGAUUGGAUUAGGAAUGGAACUUUAGGUAGUAAUGAGACCUAUCUAAGAUGUUAACUGUUAUUUGUGAAGCUAUAUUGAAAUGCUAAGUGUUUAUAAUGUGAUUUAUUGAUUGAUUGCAUUACUUGAAUUAUUAUUGAAUAAUUAGGAAGUUGUUGAAAAUGAAUUGAUAUUAAGCUGUUGAUAUGAUCUGAUUAUGCUGUUAUUGUUAUUUAACUAAGUUGCAUGAGUUGUUGUUGAUUAUCAUUUGAUAUUGUUAUAUCCUGAGAUGUUUAUGUGUCGCCUAUGUUGCUGUUGUUGGUUAUGUGAAAUAUUUAUAUGCCUUAUGUGGAAGAUGUUUGAUGUUUAAGUUGUCGAUGCUUCACAUUAAUAUUGUUAUGUUGUGAAUUGAAAUUGAUAUAUUGAUAUCUCUCUGUUGUUGUGUGACUUGACUGUGCUACUGCUGUUAUUUAACUAAGUGCAUGAUGUCUAUAUAUAUAUAUUAUGAAAUGAUGACGUUUAGCUCCAAAUUAUUGGAUGCAUGAUGAUAUGUUGAUUACGAUGAUUACGGUGUUUUGUUGUUAAGAGUCCAUGCAUAGCAUUUCAUUGAGCUUUGUCCUCACCACGAUUAGGAGCUUUGUCCUCCGCACGUUUUAGGAGCCUUGUCCUCCGCACGAUAAAAGUAUAUUAAUACUUAUGAUGACGAUUGGUACCACAUGCAUAUAAGUGUCUAAGUUGCAUUGUCGCAUAUGUCGAGUCAAGGUCGUUGUUGAUGAAUUAUCAUCCAUGAGUUGUUAAGUUGUCGAUGAAUUAUCAUCCAUGAGUUUGUCGAGUUGUGUUCUACCCAUGUGUUGUUAAAGAAGUACCUACGAAGAUUAUACGAUGUGAAUUAUAUGAUGUUGACUAAAAUAUUGCUAUGUUGUUUAACAUGUUGAUUAUGAUAUUGUUAUGUUGCUACGUUGUUUAAGAUAUUGAUUAUGAUAUUGUUAUGUUGCUAUGUUGUUUAACAUGUUGAUUAUGAUACUGUUAUGUUGCUACGUUGUUUAAGAUAUUGAUUAUGAUAUUGUUAUGUUGCUAUGUUGUUUAACAUGUUGAUUAUGAUACUGUUAUGUUGCUACGUUGUUUAAGAUAAUGAUUAUGAUAUUGUUAAGUUGUUAUGAUGUUGUGUAUAAUUGUUACUAUUAAGUGAUGAAUAUGUUGUUCUAUAUAUGAUUAAUAUUAUUAAGUGAAUAUUAUGUUAUGUUAUUGAUGAUGAUCGAAUGUUGUGAUUACUUGGUAAUUGUUUAUCAAAGAUGCUAUGAUGUUUAAGAUGAUAUUGUUUAAGAUGAUUAUGUUUAAGAUGUUUAUGUUGAAGAUUUAUGAUGUUGAUUUUGGUGUUAGUAUGUGUUGAUUAUAUUUUUAUAAGAUGAUGAAUAUGUUGUUAUUAUAAGAAGAUGAAUAUGUUGUUGUUAUAUUAUUAUAUUAUGAAGAGAUGAUGUAUAUAUAAUUAUUAUUAUUAUUAAGUGAAUAUCAUGCUAUGUUGUUGUUAUAUUAUUAUAUUAUGAUGAGAUGAUGUAUAUAUAAUAAUUAUUAUUAUUAAAUGAAUAUCAUGCUAUGUUGUUGUUAUAUUAUUAUAUUAUGACGAGAUGAUGUAUAUAUAAUUAUUAUUAUUAUUAUUAAGUGAAUAUCAUGUUACUUUGUGGUUAUAUUAUUAUAAGAAGAUGUUUAUGUUAUGAUGUAGAUAAUUAUUACUAUUAAUAAGAGAUGAUUAUAUUGUGUUGUUUUAAAGUUAUUAGUGAUGAUGAUAUCUAUGAAUUGUUAAGUGUACUUGAUGAUGUUUAUGUUAAAUUGAUAAGUUGUCUUUUAUUAAUGAAUUGAUAAUGAGAUGUUUGAUGAAUAAUUAUUAUUAUGAAUUAAUGAUGUUGUUAUGUUGUAUAUGAAUUAGGAUUAAGAUGUUGUCAUGCUAUAUAUGAACUAUGACUAUGAUGUGAUGAUCUAUGUUUGUUACGAUUUGGUUAAUAUGUGUUAAAUGAUAAUUAGAAGUUGGUUGAACUAUUAAGAAUUAUUACAUGAAGAAUUAUUAUUACUAAUAGAUGAAGUUAUUUAUGUUGUUAAAUAUAAUUAUUGAAUUAUAUGCUUGAUAUUAUUGUUUUGUGAAAUCUCACCCCUUCUGCUUGAAAAUGUUGCUCUUCGUAUGAGUAACUUGCAGGUAUUAAUGAUUAGUAGGAGUGGUGGCUCAAGUGUCUUUAGGUGCUCUGAUACGUAACGGGAUGGGAACUUUGUUAUUGCUUUCUAUUCCUUACGUAUUGUUUUUGAAGAAUUAUGACUAUGUUUUUAGAAUGGAUUUUUAUGACAUAAUUGUAAAGAGGCUUUAGUGCCAAAGACUGUUUUGAUUAUUGAAUAAUUUCCGCUGCGAAGUAUUAAAGAUUUUGUUAUUGAAUUUUAAAGGAUAAAUAGUUAUUUAUUCAGUUUAUGAUUUUAUGAAAAGAAGUGUGACAUUCCGUUUUUGUUAAUUACUCUGAUUAAAUAAAUGAAAUUUUCACGUUGGGAAAACGGGGUGUUACAAUUGGUAUCAGAGCUGGUCGGUCCGUCCGGCCAAUUAGAAGAGUUGUGUCGAGUUUUAGUAAUAGUUAUAUUACUAUCUUUAUGCUAUUUGAUUAGUUGUUGUUGUGUUUCUGAUUAAUAUUUAUGUUUACUAUGUGAUCAUGUUUGAUUGACUAACUUUGAUAUGGUUUGCAUAUUUUGUUGAAGUUUCUAUUUAACUAUAUAUGGUUUAGUAUGGUUAUGCAAUGAUUGAAUUUAUUUCUUGUGUGCUUGAAUUUCGAGGACGAAAUUCUUUUAAGGGGGGGAGAGUUGUAACGCCCUCUCUAAUUAUUUGAUUAUUUUAAAUGAGUUUAGAAUAUACUUAUAUGAUUUGUGUGAUUUAUAUGAUUUAUUUUUAUGAGUGAUAUUUUGUUAUGUUAUAUGUUGAUAUUUAUUAGUAUAAUAUAAAUGUUAUUUGAUUUAGAAAUAUGUAUAUGUUUUAGAAAAAUAUAUGUUAAUUGGUUUAGAAAAUAUAUGUUAUUUGUUGUAGAAAUAAAUAUGGUUUGUUAAAGGAAUAUACAUGCAUUGUUGUAGAAAAUAUAUGUUAUUAUAUUAUAGAAAUAUAUAUGUUAUUUGAUUUAGGAAUAUAAUAUAUGUCAUUUGUUAUAAAAAUAUAUACAUGAUUUGUUGUAGAAAUAUAUGUCAUUUGCUAUGGAAAUAUAAAUGAUUUGUUAUGGAAAUAUAUAUAUGUUAUAGAGAUAUAUUUGUUAUUUAUUAUUGUUAUAGAAAUAUUUUAUAUAUAUGUAUAUAUUAGAAUAGAAUAUUAAUAUUUGGAUUUAAGAGAAAAAUAAGUAGGUUAAAGAUUUAUAUAAAUAGGAGAGAUCUAGUUUAGAAAAACAUAACGUACGUACGACUGCUUUUGGAGAAAAGGGAGAAAAACCAAGAGAAGAGGGAGAGACCUAGAGGGGCUGCGAUUUCCUGAUUAUAAGGUAAGGGUGAGACUAACUUUGCAAUUCUAUUAAGUAUGUGAAUCAAUGGUUAAGUUUAACAUGAAUUAGGAUGAGUUUAAGAAGAAUCGGAAAUUAUGUCAAAUUGAUAGAAUUGAUGAUUAAACGGUGGAAACUUGUUAAAAAGAUGUAGAAAUUGUCCUUAGACCUUAGAUAAUGAUUUAGAUGAAUUCUGGAAUUGAAAUUAGGCUUUGAACCAUGUUGUUUGAUGGAUUUUCGAGAAAACCCGUAGUCUGCCCGUGCUUCUGUUCAUCGCUCGCCAUGACGAGUGAUGAUCCUCGCCUCGCGAGUGAUGAACUUCAUCGCUCGCCACGCGAGCCCCCUUCCUUCGCCUCGCGAGUUGUUUGGUGCAACUCGCCAUGGCGAGCAACCCUUCCUCGCCUCGCGAGCUAAGGCAGAGAGCAUGUUAGAUUUUGUGUUUCGACCUCUUUAGUUGGACCUUGGAUGCCUUAGAGUGCCUGAACAUACCUAGUAUUGAUUAGGAUUGAAUGUAGGAUCAGAUUGAACCCCAGAACAAUACUAGUUUGGGAGAUGAGUGGUACUCGCCAUGGCGAGUAAGAACUCUCGCCUCGCGAGCACAUCCAGAAUUGAGUGCUUUUGAGGAAUUUGAGACCUGAGUCGUUUGAUUGGAUUAGGAAUGGAACUUUAGGUAGUAAUGAGACCUAUCUAAGAUGUUAACUGUUAUUUGUGAAGCUAUAUUGAAAUGCUAAGUGUUUAUAAUGUGAUUUAUUGAUUGAUUGCAUUACUUGAAUUAUUAUUGAAUAAUUAGGAAGUUGUUGAAAAUGAAUUGAUAUUAAGCUGUUGAUAUGAUCUGAUUAUGCUGUUAUUGUUAUUUAACUAAGUUGCAUGAGUUGUUGUUGAUUAUCAUUUGAUAUUGUUAUAUCCUGAGAUGUUUAUGUGUCGCCUAUGUUGCUGUUGUUGGUUAUGUGAAAUAUUUAUAUGCCUUAUGUGGAAGAUGUUUGAUGUUUAAGUUGUCGAUGCUUCACAUUAAUAUUGUUAUGUUGUGAAUUGAAAUUGAUAUAUUGAUAUCUCUCUGUUGUUGUGUGACUUGACUGUGCUACUGCUGUUAUUUAACUAAGUGCAUGAUGUCUAUAUAUAUAUAUUAUGAAAUGAUGACGUUUAGCUCCAAAUUAUUGGAUGCAUGAUGAUAUGUUGAUUACGAUGAUUACGGUGUUUUGUUGUUAAGAGUCCAUGCAUAGCAUUUCAUUGAGCUUUGUCCUCACCACGAUUAGGAGCUUUGUCCUCCGCACGUUUUAGGAGCCUUGUCCUCCGCACGAUAAAAGUAUAUUAAUACUUAUGAUGACGAUUGGUACCACAUGCAUAUAAGUGUCUAAGUUGCAUUGUCGCAUAUGUCGAGUCAAGGUCGUUGUUGAUGAAUUAUCAUCCAUGAGUUGUUAAGUUGUCGAUGAAUUAUCAUCCAUGAGUUUGUCGAGUUGUGUUCUACCCAUGUGUUGUUAAAGAAGUACCUACGAAGAUUAUACGAUGUGAAUUAUAUGAUGUUGACUAAAAUAUUGCUAUGUUGUUUAACAUGUUGAUUAUGAUAUUGUUAUGUUGCUACGUUGUUUAAGAUAUUGAUUAUGAUAUUGUUAUGUUGCUAUGUUGUUUAACAUGUUGAUUAUGAUACUGUUAUGUUGCUACGUUGUUUAAGAUAUUGAUUAUGAUAUUGUUAUGUUGCUAUGUUGUUUAACAUGUUGAUUAUGAUACUGUUAUGUUGCUACGUUGUUUAAGAUAAUGAUUAUGAUAUUGUUAAGUUGUUAUGAUGUUGUGUAUAAUUGUUACUAUUAAGUGAUGAAUAUGUUGUUCUAUAUAUGAUUAAUAUUAUUAAGUGAAUAUUAUGUUAUGUUAUUGAUGAUGAUCGAAUGUUGUGAUUACUUGGUAAUUGUUUAUCAAAGAUGCUAUGAUGUUUAAGAUGAUAUUGUUUAAGAUGAUUAUGUUUAAGAUGUUUAUGUUGAAGAUUUAUGAUGUUGAUUUUGGUGUUAGUAUGUGUUGAUUAUAUUUUUAUAAGAUGAUGAAUAUGUUGUUAUUAUAAGAAGAUGAAUAUGUUGUUGUUAUAUUAUUAUAUUAUGAAGAGAUGAUGUAUAUAUAAUUAUUAUUAUUAUUAAGUGAAUAUCAUGCUAUGUUGUUGUUAUAUUAUUAUAUUAUGAUGAGAUGAUGUAUAUAUAAUAAUUAUUAUUAUUAAAUGAAUAUCAUGCUAUGUUGUUGUUAUAUUAUUAUAUUAUGACGAGAUGAUGUAUAUAUAAUUAUUAUUAUUAUUAUUAAGUGAAUAUCAUGUUACUUUGUGGUUAUAUUAUUAUAAGAAGAUGUUUAUGUUAUGAUGUAGAUAAUUAUUACUAUUAAUAAGAGAUGAUUAUAUUGUGUUGUUUUAAAGUUAUUAGUGAUGAUGAUAUCUAUGAAUUGUUAAGUGUACUUGAUGAUGUUUAUGUUAAAUUGAUAAGUUGUCUUUUAUUAAUGAAUUGAUAAUGAGAUGUUUGAUGAAUAAUUAUUAUUAUGAAUUAAUGAUGUUGUUAUGUUGUAUAUGAAUUAGGAUUAAGAUGUUGUCAUGCUAUAUAUGAACUAUGACUAUGAUGUGAUGAUCUAUGUUUGUUACGAUUUGGUUAAUAUGUGUUAAAUGAUAAUUAGAAGUUGGUUGAACUAUUAAGAAUUAUUACAUGAAGAAUUAUUAUUACUAAUAGAUGAAGUUAUUUAUGUUGUUAAAUAUAAUUAUUGAAUUAUAUGCUUGAUAUUAUUGUUUUGUGAAAUCUCACCCCUUCUGCUUGAAAAUGUUGCUCUUCGUAUGAGUAACUUGCAGGUAUUAAUGAUUAGUAGGAGUGGUGGCUCAAGUGUCUUUAGGUGCUCUGAUACGUAACGGGAUGGGAACUUUGUUAUUGCUUUCUAUUCCUUACGUAUUGUUUUUGAAGAAUUAUGACUAUGUUUUUAGAAUGGAUUUUUAUGACAUAAUUGUAAAGAGGCUUUAGUGCCAAAGACUGUUUUGAUUAUUGAAUAAUUUCCGCUGCGAAGUAUUAAAGAUUUUGUUAUUGAAUUUUAAAGGAUAAAUAGUUAUUUAUUCAGUUUAUGAUUUUAUGAAAAGAAGUGUGACAUUCCGUUUUUGUUAAUUACUCUGAUUAAAUAAAUGAAAUUUUCACGUUGGGAAAACGGGGUGUUACAACCAACACCAUUGUUUUUAAAAUAGCCUAAUUCUUCAGCUUCAUCAACCCACACAAAAAAUUUACAAUUUUCACAAUCAUCCUAUACAAUCAAAAGACAAAAUCAGUAUAAUUUAAACAAAACAUUCAUACAUUAAAUAACCAUUGUUAAACAAACCUUAUGCAUAGUGCAAGCAUAGAAAAGCCUUCCUGGGUUAUUGACAGUGUUUGCUGUUCUUACAACACAAAUUCUAGGACACCAACAUUGAAGCUCUCUCACAUCAUCAUUGUACAUAGAGCUUGAAGAUGAAUACCGGUUGUUGUAGUUGUUUUUGCCCAUUCGCGCACCACCCAUCAAUUCUGAACACCGAAUCUACAAGGCAGACCACUUGAUUUAUGAAUUUUGAAUUUAAUCAAAAAAAUUAGGGUUCUAAGUUUUUUGAAUUGGGGAAGAAAUUUGCAUCAAUUUAUGGAAGAAAUUUUGGGGAUUUUGAACUCUAUGUACGGAAUUAUAACAUUAGGGUUCCAAAUUUAUAUAUUUGGGGAAGAAAUAGCCCUUAAUGAGGAAGAGGAGAAAGAGCCGUUACUCACAAAGAAGAGAAAUAGCCGUUGCCAAUUUUCUGGAAUCCAUCAAUUUGGUCCUUGGAAAUUUUGUGUAAAUCAAUCAGUUUGGUCCCUGCUUGCAUGAAAUCUGACAUGGUAAGCUUUGUCGAAGGUUAACGUUACAUGUAACCUCUGUUAACAGACCAACUUAACGGAGGGACUGAUUUGAUUGGCAUUUUGUAAAUUCAGGGACAAAUUUGAUAUUUUGCAAAAUUCAGGGACGAAAUUGGCCGAUUUUUCAAAAUUCAAAGACGAAUUUGAGGUAUUAGUCCAAUCCCUACCAAACUAUAUUAAACAUGUAUUUUCCAUGCAUCCCAUCUGUAACCCUCCUCAAUUAAUACUCCAUCUUUGUUCAAUUUUCAAGAAUAAAAUUUCAACUUUGCCAUUCUACCUUUUAUUCGUACAAUUCUCAAUACACUCUCCAUUCUUAUUGUCUUUUUCAAUUCAUUUCCAGAUUGUCUCAUGACUCACAUCUAUUUCUUCUUCUUUUUCAUUUCUUAUUAUCUGAAGAAUUGCUAUAAAGUCCAAAUUGGUAAAUCUCUUAUGGAAGAAGGUUGAUGCGGUUUUAGCAAAUGAUGACAGUUUAGGUCUUGGUGAUUGCCUACGUUCUAGCCCACGGCGACCCAUUGGAAAAACCAUUACUGGGGCUUUCAACAUUUCUAAAAGGGUGAGAACGGCGGCGACGGUGAUGGUGACAGAUGCCUUUCUUUUGUUCUACCCGCAGCUUUCACAACAAGCGUCAAUUAUGGCUCAUUAUAACGUCCAAGAUCUGCUAUCUUACCAUUGUUUAACUGGUGAGAAACUACUACCAAUUGAUGUGUGUUUUAGCUAUCUUUUUUACCUCACGUAAAUGUUGUUUUACAUCCGUUUUAUGUUUGUUUUUGUGCCAGUGCCCUUGAAACAGAUUCUUGUAUCAGAGUUGGAGAAGAUUGUCAAUAAGUUGCGGGUGAAAUAUAGGACAUAUCUCAUAGAGUUUGAUGUUGAACAUGUGAGCUAAUUAUAGGACGUGACCUCACCUUGCAUAAUUCGUGUAUUCUUUUCAUUAUUGCGUUGAUUAUGAUAGCAGUGUGUCCUUUAGGGAUGAUCUUUUUGAGCUUAUUUUUUUUUCUUAUCUCUUUCUCCUGAUUUUGAACAAUCUGUUUUUGCCUUAUGUUUUGGAACAUUUUAUUUAGAUCCUUGCUUGUCAAGGUUUUGUGGAUGUAAUGGAUGUUUUGAGGUGUAAUAGAUCGUCUGUUGCUAUCUAUGGUUCACGAUGGAUUAUUCCAAUCUUAUUUUAUCUAAUAUGUUUUGAUUAAUAUUGAGUUAAUAAGUUGAUAUACAUGUCACUUUUCUCCUAAAGAAGUUGAAAGGACUCGGACUCUUUUGGAAAUUUAGAAAAACAUACUUGCGGCAUAGUAAAAUGUUAUAGUUCUGCUUUGGUGAUAAUAUUCUUUUUUGGAGGGUUAUUGCAAAUGUUUUGGCAAGUUCAAAGUUGAAGAAUACACUUAUAUUGUUUCUAUAGCAUAGUGUUGUUGCCAGAAUUAAAAUACUAGCAUAUUCAGUAAUAACAACCUAGAAUAUUAACUCUUAUAUUAUGUGUGUGAUCAUAAGAAGACCUUAGUGUAAUGACAUGGAUUGUAAUCAACAACAAGUAUGUCAGGUUAAAAUUGCUUAAUAUGAAUGUUGUAUUUCUACGAAAUGACUCAGAUGGUGGCUGUUCGUUUUGCGUCAACGAUGCCAUCAUCAUAAGUUGUAAUUGAACUAUUAAACUUUGUUUUUGGCUACUACAUAUGCAAUGUAUAUGCACGGGUGGAUAGUCUAGUGUUUUCCAACCCAAAAGAUCCUCACUACAAAGACACUCAAUCUUAAAGUUACCUCCUUUGUAAUCCAAGUUUCUCUCUCUUCAAGCUCUCCUUCAAAAUCUGCACAAGAACACAUAUAUAGUAGUCUUCAACUGUCAGAAUCGUGUCACAUUUUGUCCAAAUCGUGACGUGAUUGGUGCAUAUGACCCAAUGUACGACCAACCUUAUCCUGAAAAACGUACCCAGCAAGUUUGAAAAUCUUGUCACAUUUUUCCAAAAUCGUGACACGAUUGAGCACCUGCAAACCAUGCUCACUGCCUGGAAAUCGUGACACGUUAAUGAAAUCGUGUCACGAUUUCUCUGUUCUUCCAAAUCACAAAUUUGAAGCCAAUAUACAACACAGCCAAUAAAGCAACAAAUUAACAUCCUCAAUCAUUUUCUCAAGGAAUGAUGAACCUAUUUAAUUAAUAACGUAUAAUCCUGAGCUAAAAUAGCAAAUGCGCAGAAGAAUCGAAAUUAGCAAGGAAAUUGACUAAUUCAAAUACCUGCCAUACACGGUGAAGACGCUUCUUGGCAUUGGCUUUACAGGUGGUGGUGAGCUUGAU